Molecule: ribosomal RNA, 485 nt
Filed under: uncultured bacterium
Lineage: Bacteria
Description: partial 16S ribosomal RNA
Rfam family: Bacterial small subunit ribosomal RNA
Source: RNAcentral
AUUGAACGCUGGCGGCAUGCUUUACACAUGCAAGUCGAGCGGCAGCGCGGGGGCAACCCUGGCGGCGAGCGGCGAACGGGUGAGUAAUGCAUCGGAACGUAUCCUCGAGUGGGGGAUAACCCAGCGAAAGUUGGGCUAAUACCGCAUGAGCUCUGAGGAGGAAAGCGGGGGACCUGCGAGGGCCUCGCGCUGGAGGAGCGGCCGAUGUCCGAUUAGCUAGUUGGUGGGGUAAAGGCUUACCAAGGCGACGAUCGGUAGCUGGUCUGAGAGGAUGAUCAGCCACACUGGGACUGAGACACGGCCCAGACUCCUACGGGAGGCAGCAGUGGGGAAUUUUGGACAAUGGGGGCAACCCUGAUCCAGCCAUGCCGCGUGAGUGAAGAAGGCCUUCGGGUUGUAAAGCUCUUUCGGACGGAACGAAAUGGGCGGGACUAAUACUCCUGUCUGAUGACGGUACCGUAAGAAGAAGCACCGGCUAACUACGG